Molecule: non-coding RNA, 222 nt
Organism: Pelobates cultripes (western spadefoot toad)
Lineage: Eukaryota; Metazoa; Chordata; Amphibia; Anura; Pelobatidae
Source: the annotation of a GenBank genome assembly
CUCAACUGUACACAUGUACGCAGAUAACACCGUAAUCUAUGCUAGCAAACCAAAUCUACCGCAGUUUGAGACUGUACUCCAAUAUCCGUUCACAGAGGUAAAAAAGUGGAUCUCAAAAAUAAACUUUUCCUAAACACUGACAAACCUGUCACAAUGAUCUGUGGAACAGUAUCUACAUUACAAAAUUCCUAUGCAUUAGAACAAAAUCAAAACACACUGACC